GACGAACGCUGGCGGCGUGCUUAACACAUGCAAGUCGAACGAAGUGGCGAACGGGUGAGUAACGCGUAAUCAACCUGCCCUUCAGAGGGGGACAACAGUUGGAAACGACUGCUCAUACCGCAUACUGAAGGAGGGGACUGCGUCGGGUUAGCUAGUUGGAGGGGUAACGGCCCACCAAGGCGAUGAUCCGUAGGCGGGCGGAGAGGAUGAACGGCCACAUUGGGACUGAGAAACGGCCCAGAAGCCUACGGGAGGCAGCAGUGGGGAAUCUUCCGCAAUGGACGAAAGGCUGACGGAGCAACGCCGCGUGAGUGAUGACGGCCUUCGGGUUGUAAAGCUCUGUUAAUCGGGACGCGGUACCGGAAUAGAAAGCCACGGCUAACUACGUGCCAGCAGCCGCGGUAAUUC
This 408-nucleotide ribosomal RNA is filed under the name uncultured bacterium. RNAcentral's name for it is "partial 16S ribosomal RNA". It matches the Rfam family "Bacterial small subunit ribosomal RNA", at positions 28 to 526 of the family's 1533-position model. The record is from RNAcentral.